UAGGGAAUCUUCGGCAAUGGGGGCAACCCUGACCGAGCAACGCCGCGUGAGUGAAGAAGGUUUUCGGAUCGUAAAGCUCUGUUGUAAGUCAAGAACGAGUGUGAGAGUGGAAAGUUCACACUGUGACGGUAGCUUACCAGAAAGGGACGGCUAACUACGUGCCAGCAGCCGCGGUAAUACGUAGGUCCCGAGCGUUGUCCGGAUUUAUUGGGCGUAAAGCGAGCGCAGGCGGUUUGAUAAGUCUGAAGCUAAAGGCUGUGGCUCAACCAUAGUUCGCUUUGGAAACUGUCAAACUUGAGUGCAGAAGGGGAGAGUGGAAUUCCAGGUGUAGCGGUGAAAUGCGUAGAUAUAUGGAGGAACACCGGUGGCGAAAGCGGCUCUCUGGUCUGUAACUGACGCUGAGGCUCGAAAGCGUGGGGAGCGAACAGGAUUAGAUACCCUGGUAGUCCACGCCGUAAACGAUGAGUGCUAGGUGUUGGAUCCUUUCCGGGAUUCAGUGCCGCAGCUAACGCAUUAAGCACUCCGCCUGGGGAGUACGACCGCAAGGUU
This 549-nucleotide ribosomal RNA is filed under the name uncultured bacterium. RNAcentral's name for it is "bacterial SSU rRNA". It matches the Rfam family "Bacterial small subunit ribosomal RNA", at positions 355 to 895 of the family's 1533-position model. The record is from RNAcentral.